RNAcentral lists this ribosomal RNA (967 nucleotides) under uncultured bacterium. RNAcentral describes it as "bacterial SSU rRNA". It matches the Rfam family "Bacterial small subunit ribosomal RNA", at positions 1 to 911 of the family's 1533-position model. The record is from RNAcentral.
AGAGUUUGAUCAUGGAAAUGGCUUACGCUGGCGGCGGGCCUAACACAUGCAAGAAGCACGAGAAAGCCCCUGCUUGCAGGGGCGAGUAAAGUGGCGCACGGGUGAGUAACGCGUGGUUUAAUCUACCCUUGGUUUGGGAAAAACCCCCCAAAAGGGGGCUUAAACCCCAAAAAAAAACCCCCCGGCGGCCCACGGGCACUGGGGUAAAAGUGGGCCUCUACAUGUAAGCUCAUGCCUGAGGAUGAGACCGCGUCCCAUUAGCUUGUUGGUGAGGUAACGGCUCACCAAGGCCGCGAUGGGUAGCUGAUCUGAGAGGAUGAUCAGCCACACUGGGACUGGAACACGGCCCAGACUCCUACGGGAGGCAGCAGUGAGGAAUCUUGCGCAAUGGGGGAAACCCUGACGCAGCCACGCCGCGUGGGGUGAAGAAGGCCUUCGGGAUUGUAAAGCCCUGUCAGGUGGGGAAGAACCGCAGUCUGGCCAAUACCUGGACUGCUUGACGGUACCACCAAAGGGAGCACCGGCUAACUUUCGUGCCAGCAGCCCGCGGUAAUACGAAAGGGUGCAAGCGUUAAUCGGGAUUUACUGGGCGUAAAAGCGCGCGUAGGUGGUUUGAUAAGUUGGAUGUGAAAGCCCCGGGCUCAACCUGGGAAUUGCAUCCAAAACUUGUCUGGCUAGAGUAUGGCAAAGGGUGUGGAAUUUUCCUGUGUAACGGUGAAAUGGCGUAUAUAUGUGGAAGGGACACCAGUGGGCGAAAGCGACCAACUGAGCCUAAUACUUGACACUUGAGAUGCGACAUGCGUGUGGUAGCAAACACGGUGUAGAUAUCCCAUGGUGAGUCACACGCCGAUAACCAUGGCAGACUACUCGCUUGGUCAUCCUCUGUAUACUUAGUGGCGCAGACUACUCAUUUUAAUUCUGACACCUGGAGAGUACGAAGCUCGCAGGGUCGUAUAUCACAUCUACC